GAUGAACGCUAGCGAUAGGCUUAACACAUGCAAGUCGAGGGGCAGCAUGGUCUUAGCUUGCUAAGACUGAUGGCGACCGGCGCACGGGUGCGUAACGCGUAUGCAACUUGCCUCACAGAGGGGGAUAACCCGUCGAAAGACGGACUAAUACCGCGUACACUUGGGAUAGGGCAUCCUGACCCAAGGAAAUGAAAUUCGCUGUGAGAUAGGCAUGCGUCCCAUUAGCUAGUUGGUGAGGUAACGGCUCACCAAGGCGACGAUGGGUAGGGGAACUGAGAGGUUGAACCCCCACACUGGUACUGAGACACGGACCAGACUCCUACGGGAGGCAGCAGUGAGGAAUAUUGGUCAAUGGGAGAGAGCCUGAACCAGCCAAGUCGCGUGAAGGAUGACUGUCUUAUGGAUUGUAAACUUCUUUUAUACGGGAAUAACAAGAGCCACGUGUGGCUCCCUGCAUGUACCGUAUGAAUAAGCAUCGGCUAACUCCGUG
This 490-nucleotide ribosomal RNA is filed under the name uncultured bacterium. Its description in RNAcentral is "partial 16S ribosomal RNA". It matches the Rfam family "Bacterial small subunit ribosomal RNA", at positions 28 to 507 of the family's 1533-position model. The record is from RNAcentral.